RNAcentral lists this ribosomal RNA (1043 nucleotides) under Olivibacter sp. 6_86. Its description in RNAcentral is "bacterial SSU rRNA". It matches the Rfam family "Bacterial small subunit ribosomal RNA", at positions 85 to 1131 of the family's 1533-position model. Lineage: Bacteria; Pseudomonadati; Bacteroidota; Sphingobacteriia; Sphingobacteriales; Sphingobacteriaceae. The record is from RNAcentral.
CCCGGUGAGAGUGGCGCACGGGUGCGUAACGCGUGAGCAACCUGCCCGUCCCAGGGGGAUAGCCCGGAGAAAUCCGGAUUAAUACCGCAUGAGAAUGCAGGUCCGCAUGGGCCUUCAUUUAAAUAUUCAUAGGGGACGGAUGGGCUCGCGUGACAUUAGCUGGUUGGCGGGGUAACGGCCCACCAAGGCGACGAUGUCUAGGGGCUCUGAGAGGAGAAACCCCCACACUGGUACUGAGACACGGACCAGACUCCUACGGGAGGCAGCAGUAAGGAAUAUUGGUCAAUGGGGGGAACCCUGAACCAGCCAUGCCGCGUGCAGGAAGACGGCCCUACGGGUUGUAAACUGCUUUUGCACGGGAAUAACCCCCGGUAUGUAUACCGGGCUGAAUGUACCGUGAGAAUAAGGAUCGGCUAACUCCGUGCCAGCAGCCGCGGUAAUACGGAGGAUCCGAGCGUUAUCCGGAAUUAUUGGGUUUAAAGGGUGCGUAGGCGGCGCGCUAAGUCAGGGGUGAAAGACGGUGGCUCAACCAUCGCAGUGCCUUUGAUACUGGCGCGCUUGAAUGUACCUGAGGUAGGCGGAAUGUGGCAAGUAGCGGUGAAAUGCAUAGAUAUGCCACAGAACACCGAUUGCGAAGGCAGCUUACCAAAGUACGAUUGACGCUGAGGCACGAAAGCGUGGGGAUCGAACAGGAUUAGAUACCCUGGUAGUCCACGCCCUAAACGAUGAACACUCGAUGUCGGCGAUAGACGGUCGGCGUCCAAGCGAAAGCGUUAAGUGUUCCACCUGGGGAGUACGCCCGCAAGGGUGAAACUCAAAGGAAUUGACGGGGGCCCGCACAAGCGGAGGAGCAUGUGGUUUAAUUCGAUGAUACGCGAGGAACCUUACCCGGGCUUGAAAGUUACUGAAUUGUCCAGAGAUGGACAGGUCCUUCGGGACAGGAAACUAGGUGCUGCAUGGCUGUCGUCAGCUCGUGCCGUGAGGUGUUUGGUUAAGUCCCGCAACGAGCGCAACCCCUAUGUUUAGUUGCCAGCACGUCAAGG